RNAcentral lists this unclassified non-coding RNA (241 nucleotides) under Hevea brasiliensis (rubber tree). The record is from RNAcentral. Lineage: Eukaryota; Viridiplantae; Streptophyta; Magnoliopsida; Malpighiales; Euphorbiaceae.
GAAACCCUGAUUUCGUCAUCAAACUCUUAUGCGAACAGCGUCCCUGCGAUCAACUCCCAAGUCGCGACUUCCAGGUCGCCAUGGCCGACACCUCUAAAAAAUUUCCAGCCUCGCCGUCGCCACCAAGCCACGCCCUCUCCGCUCAGUGUUAAUUUCUCCCUUUUUCCUCUCCUUGCUUCUCACCUUCUCUGCUCUACCAAAAAGACAACAGAUCUUUCUUCCUUCUUUCUCUCCUUGUAUU